GACGCACGCUGGCGGCGUGCUUAACACAUGCAAGUCGACAUGAGUGGCGAACGGGUGAGUAAUACGUGGGUAACCUGCCCUCCUUUUUGGGAUAAGCCUUGGAAAAGGGGUCUAAUACCGGAUAAAGGGGGAUGGGCCCGCGGCCUAUCAGCUUGUUGGUGGGGUGAUGCCCUACCAAGGCGGUGACGGGUAGCCGGCCUGGGAGGUGUACAGGACAAAUUAGGACUGAGAUACGGCCCGGACUGCUACGGGAGGCAGCAGUGGUGGAUUGUUCGCAAUGGGCGGAAGCCUGAUGCAGGGACGCCGGGUGGGGGGUGUAGGCUUUGGGGUUGUAAACCUCUUUCGCUAUCGAACGGGUAGGUGGAGAAGAAGGGCCGGCUAACUACGUGCCAGCAGCCGCGGUAAUAC
Molecule: ribosomal RNA, 408 nt
Filed under: uncultured bacterium
Lineage: Bacteria
Description: partial 16S ribosomal RNA
Rfam family: Bacterial small subunit ribosomal RNA
Source: RNAcentral